This 231-nucleotide long non-coding RNA is filed under the name Gossypium raimondii (Peruvian cotton). RNAcentral describes it as "long non-coding RNA (GRAI_LNC007642)". The record is from RNAcentral. Lineage: Eukaryota; Viridiplantae; Streptophyta; Magnoliopsida; Malvales; Malvaceae.
UCGUGUCAGAAUAAGAUAUAAAAAUACGAAAAAAAUAAAAAAAAUUUUUGGGUGCUGGCCUAUCAAUGGCUGGCACCCAGUACACAAUAAAUUUUUUUUGUGUGUUAGAAUCAGAUAUAAAAAUACGAAAAAAAUAAAAAAAAUUUCUAUUUCCUCCUAUUUACUAUUACAAAAUUAAAAUCCCCCAAGUCCUAUAUAUUUUUUGUAAAUUUAGAAUUUAGUUUGUAUAUU